GGAGUUGUAGCUCAGUUGGUUAGAGCGUGUCGUUGACAUCGACAAGGUCACAGGUUCGAAUCCUGUCAACUCCA
Candidatus Curtissbacteria bacterium is the source of this 74-nucleotide non-coding RNA. NCBI's taxonomy places the organism in Bacteria, Candidatus Curtissiibacteriota. The record is from Rfam.